UGUUUCACCCGCUUCUGAUUAUUCGCAGAUACGGUUUCCCUCACAAGCCCUACAUGCUGGGUUGUGCUUAGCAAAGCCAUAAUUAAAAGUCUAAUUUAUUGAGAAAGGGCAAAAGUAGAUGUUUUCUGUUUAUUUUUCAUUAUAGCAAUACUAAGUUACGUUUCUACCACUAUUACUUUUAUUGUGUGCAUCUAAGUAUGAGUCUGUAUAACAGGAAGGUGGACGUGUUCUUCUCCAUUGACCAAAAGGCUAGAGGAUAAUUUUCCAUCACCUGAAGGUCUUCAAAGCCAACAUUUCCAGUCAGGCAGGUAGUCUCUGGCCCACUCCUAUGGGGAUUACCACCAUCAUCGUGGCCAAGGAAGAUUUCCAGAAGGGAGUGAUAUCUAACUGAAUAUGAAGAAAGGACAUUAAUUAGUGAAGCAGAGAGAGGAGGGGAAAGACUUGCAGGCAGAUAGAUGAGCACAGAUAAACAUCUGGAAGUGAAAGAAUACAUGGCGUUUGGGGGAAACUACAAGGAACUCAUUUUUGACUGGAUAAUAUUUUGAUACUUGAAGUACAUAAAAACGUACUUAAAGAAGUAAAUGUGCUCUCUCUCUCUGCCUGUCUCUCUGCCUGCUUAUGA
Long non-coding RNA from Mustela lutreola (European mink), 622 nucleotides. RefSeq lists it as uncharacterized. The transcript is spliced from 3 exons. NCBI's taxonomy places the organism in Eukaryota, Metazoa, Chordata, Mammalia, Carnivora, Mustelidae. The record is from RefSeq and is a predicted model, not a curated record.